RNAcentral lists this long non-coding RNA (220 nucleotides) under Pelobates cultripes (western spadefoot toad). Lineage: Eukaryota; Metazoa; Chordata; Amphibia; Anura; Pelobatidae. The record is from RNAcentral.
UGCUUCCACAGACUGAAGCGGGUCUAGCAGAGAGUUGGACUCGAGGAAGUCUGUCAAUCUUGCAUACACAAUUUUUUUUUUUUUCAAGGAUCUUGGAUGCAAAAGGCAGUAGCGAGAUAGGACGAUAGUUGGAUGGGGAGUUAGGGUCAAGAUUGGGCUUCUUUAGAAUUGGGGUUACAGUUGCAUGUUUGAAGGGCAAUGGAAAUAUACCAGAGGAGAG